AGCGAACGCUGGCGGCAGGCCUAACACAUGCAAGUCGAACGGAUCCUUCGGGAUUAGUGGCGGACGGGUGAGUAACACGUGGGAACGUGCCCUUUGGUUCGGAACAACUCAGGGAAACUUGAGCUAAUACCGGAUGUGCCCUUCGGGGGAAAGAUUUAUCGCCAUUGGAGCGGCCCGCGUCUGAUUAGCUAGUUGGUGAGGUAACGGCCCACCAAGGCGACGACCAGUAGCUGGUCUGAGAGGAUGAUCAGCCACACUGGGACUGAGACACGGCCCAGACUCCUACGGGAGGCAGCAGUGGGGAAUCUUGCGCAAUGGGCGAAAGCCUGACGCAGCCAUGCCGCGUGAAUGAUGAAGGUCUUAGGAUUGUAAAAUUCUUUCAGCGGGGACGAUAAUGACGGUACCCGCAGAAGAAGCUCCGGCUAACUUCGUG
RNAcentral lists this ribosomal RNA (433 nucleotides) under uncultured bacterium. Its description in RNAcentral is "partial 16S ribosomal RNA". It matches the Rfam family "Bacterial small subunit ribosomal RNA", at positions 29 to 507 of the family's 1533-position model. The record is from RNAcentral.